Molecule: long non-coding RNA, 200 nt
Filed under: Nicotiana benthamiana
Lineage: Eukaryota; Viridiplantae; Streptophyta; Magnoliopsida; Solanales; Solanaceae
Description: long non-coding RNA (NBEN_LNC039080)
Source: RNAcentral
GAGUUUUUAUAUAACAUUUCAGCAGCAUCGGGCAAUGAUCAGAACAAAUUUUGGACAGGUGAGUUACCUCCAAUCCAGGAAAGGUCUGUAGCAAUUCGUCAUUGCCUAGACAUCUAUCCAGUCGUUUGAAUAUACAGUCCUCCUCUGAUCUUCCAUUCCACCAAGUAAAAAUGCUUCCUUUAAAUCCCAAAUCUGUCAAA